GGUUCAUCUUCUGGAAUCUUUGAUCUAGGAGGUCCUCUCGACUGUGAAUCUCGAGGGUCUUCUGGUAGAAUGGAGGUAGGGAUACUCUGGGGGUGGAAUCGUGAUCGGACGGAGGGCUCUCCACCUUCUGCUUCCCCUUUUUGGGAAAGACAGGGCGACUGGCCCAAGUGACCCGCCCGAUCGUCGGAUUCUGGAACUCCGACAAUGUUCUUUCCAGCCACACAGAUGCCUGUGAC
This 236-nucleotide long non-coding RNA is filed under the name Elaeis guineensis (African oil palm). RNAcentral's name for it is "long non-coding RNA (EGUI_LNC073104)". The record is from RNAcentral. Lineage: Eukaryota; Viridiplantae; Streptophyta; Magnoliopsida; Arecales; Arecaceae.